GGCCCAGCAACCGCCAAUUUGCAAAUUUGGAGAGAGAAAAGUUCGUUUCCUGGGUCU
This 57-nucleotide transfer RNA is filed under the name Pseudocalotes flavigula. RNAcentral's name for it is "tRNA-Cys". The record is from RNAcentral. Lineage: Eukaryota; Metazoa; Chordata; Lepidosauria; Squamata; Agamidae.